Molecule: transfer RNA, 77 nt
Filed under: Ktedonobacterales bacterium
Lineage: Bacteria; Bacillati; Chloroflexota; Ktedonobacteria; Ktedonobacterales
Description: tRNA-His
Rfam family: tRNA
About the family: Transfer RNA (tRNA) molecules are approximately 80 nucleotides in length.
Source: RNAcentral
GCGGUCGUAGCUCAAUUUGGCAGAGCACUAGAUUGUGGCUCUAGUGGUUGCGGGUUCGAGCCCCGUCGAUCGCCCCA